GGUCCCCAUACACCAGUGGGAAGAAUGGGAGGUGAUGUUGUUUUCCAACUUACAUAGUUAAGGUCCGGGCCACACAAUAAAUCAAGGGAUUGGCAUGGUACCAUGGUUUUCUCAAGUUUUGGAUUUGGAAUUUUCCUUUCUAUACAACUUCUGGUACUCGUUAUCAUUGAAGCCGUUGAUCUACACUUCGUUUGUUCAAACAACAGGGGUAACUACACCACCGGUAGUGUCUAUCAGAAAAACCUCGACGACUUUCUCUCCUCCCUCGUCACUAAUGAGAGCAGCAACGGCUAUGGCCUCUACAACACCUCUUUUGGCCAAGACGAUGAUAUCAUCGACAAAGUUUAUGCCAUCGGGCUUUGUAGACCGGAUCUUAUACCGGAUGCUUCCCUCAAAUCCUUCAAAGACUCGGCAUACAAUCUCACAAGGGCUUGUCCAAAUCAGAAGGAAGCAAUCAUAUGGAAUGAGUAUUGCAUGGUACGCUACUCAAACCGCUCCUUUCAUUUUGAGCUUUCUCCUAGUAACAAUCAAUCGACCACGAGAAGCCUAUUGUCGUCGGAUGUCGAUUUAUUUAAUUCUGAGCUGGAGGAGUUAAUCGGAGUACUGAAAAGUCAAGCAGCUGCAGGUGGUCUUCAGAAAAAGUUUGCAACGGAAAGUAAAAGGGUUAUGUAUUCCAACAAUCAGUCAAUAUCUGGAAUCGUACAGUGCAUUCCGGACUUGGAGGAGGAGGAGUGCAGUUUCUGCUUGGAGGAGGGUUUGAGACAGCUUCAGAAAUGUUGUUAUGGGAUGGAUUCUGCGAGAUUUGGUAAUCCGAGCUGUAAUUUGAGGUAUGAUGUUUACACCACCGAUGAUCCAGCUAAAUAUCAUGAACCACGAGCACUAUCUCCUCCUACGCCAUCAGCCAAUGCAACCAAAAAUUCAGGAGGAAAGAAGAAGAGCAGCACAUCUGCAGGGACCGUCAUCAUUAUUGCUAUGGCAACGGUUGUUUCCUUCUUGAUUCUAAUUAUGUCCAUCUGCAUCUAUCUGAGAGUGAAGUAUAAAAGGAAAAGAAUUGAAGAAAGAGCAGAAGAAAUCAAAUCUGCGGAAGCUUUGCAAUUCGACUUUCGCUCCAUUAGAGCUGCCACAAAUAACUUUUCGGAAGCAAAUAAACUUGGACGGGGAGGGUUUGGUAUUGUUUACAGGGGUAUACUCCCCGAUGAUAAGGACAUAGCGGUUAAAAGGCUUUCGAGGGAUUCUGCACAAGGAGAUUUAGAAUUCAAAACUGAGGUCUCGCUAGUGGCCAGGCUUCAACAUAGGAAUUUGGUUAGGCUUCUUGGUUUCUGCCUGGGAAAAAAUGAAAAGAUUCUUGUUUAUGAGUUUGUCCCUAACGGAAGUCUUGAUCAAUUCAUAUUUGGUGAAGUCAAGCGCGCACAUUUGGAUUGGGAUGUUCGCUACAAAAUCAUAGUAGGCAUUGCGAGAGGGCUCCUUUACCUUCAUGAAGAUUCUCGUCUUAAAAUCAUUCACCGUGAUCUCAAAGCUAGCAACAUUCUAUUAGAUGCAGACAUGAACCCCAAAGUUGCAGAUUUUGGUAUGGCGAGAUUGUUUGAUCUUGAUCAAUCACAAGGCGAAACCAGACGAGUUGUGGGAACUUACGGAUAUAUGGCUCCAGAGUAUGUGAUGCGUGGACAAUUUUCGGUUAAGUCUGAUGUCUUUAGCUUUGGUGUCUUAGUUUUGGAGAUAGUAAGUGGACAAAAGAAUAGUUCUUUUCGUAAUAGAGGAAAUGUGGAGGAUCUUCUAAGCUAUGCAUGGAGAAAUUGGAGAGCAGAUACGGCUUCAAAUAUAAUAGAUCCCAUCUUGAGUUCUGGUUCAAGAACUGAGAUGAUGAGAUGCAUCAACAUUGGAUUGUUAUGCGUGCAACAAAAUAUAGCUGAUAGGCCAACUAUGACUUCAGUUAUUCUCAUGCUCACCGGCAACUCUCUCUCUCUUCCAGUACCCUCACAGCCAGCAUUUUUUAUGGGUGCAUCCGACUUUUCAAAGGCUGUAGAAUUGGAUCAAGCUCAAAGCAGUAGUUCUGUCCAAAAAUCUGUUAAUGAGGCUUCAAUUACUGAACUAUCUCCUCGCUAAUGUACAAAGAGAAUGCUAAUUUUUAAGGAUUUCUGGUCAAGGAGAGGAGUGAAGAAGAAAUGGGUUCUGCACUCAGAUGAGUUUUUAGCCUCUCCAAAGUCCGAAAUGUUAAAGAUCUUGCAAGAUUAGGUUGUGGUCAAUUGUUAUAAAGGUAUAUAUGAAUUAAUCAUAAUUUGAAUGGCUGGUUGUGCUUCUAUUAUAAGUGGAAUCCCAAUAAACCUGGUUUACCAUUAAUUAUGGUACUGGACACAUGCUCUAAGUGUUUGUGUGUGUGUGUGUGUGUAUAUAUAUAUAUAUAUAUCUCCACUAGUGGAAUUAACAAAUUGGGUAUCAAGUUUUAGAAUUAUGCUAAAAAAAUGGUCAUGGUUGAAGGUCUAUGGUUUUAAAUUUCUGGUUGGCUCUCCCUUUGAUACGCAUAUCCAAAUAGAAAUUUGAUUAUUUGCCUUGUUUAUAAUGAAUUGGAGUUUCAGCUUAUUUUUGGAAAGGUGUAAUGUUGUUUAUUUGGUUUUGAUUCUUCUUUUAUUGUCAUGUGAGAUGGGUAAGAGAUGAUCAGUCUUCAGUAAUAGUCAAUCUGUAUUACCUGCAAUUCGGAAGUGCAAGACUUGGUGUUUGGAUAUAGGGGCAGGAGUUCUUGCUUUAUGUGGGUCUUAUUUUAAGUAAAAGCUUGGAGUUAGGCUCAUUAGGGAAGCAUUGGAAGCGGAUGAUUGGCUUAGCUCUGACUUAAACAAAUUGAGAUCAUGGCGCCAUCUAAUAGAGCAGCAGCCGCUAAAGCGAUAGCUUUGAGGAUGAAAGCUGUGCAAAUGAAAAGAACUAGCUCUAAGGAUGCAGGGCCGUCAACCACACCUAAAGCUUUGUCUCCAAAGAAGAGGGUUGUGUCUGCUAAGAAGAAGGAGGUGUCCCCGAAGAAGAAGGUUGUCGAAACUAAGAAGAAGACUAGAUCCCCGAAGAAGAAGACAAAGGUUGUAUCAAACAAAUCUGUAUCAAAGACCAAUUCUGGAAAUAGUUCUAAGUCUAAUAAGACAAAGGAUGGUGAUGAUGAGGAAGAUCCCGAUGCAACUGGUGGUUUGAAGCUACUAAGGCGAGGGAUGGUGACAAUGAAUCGCAUUACAAGGUGACUCAUCAAAGGGAGAAAGCUAACUAUACAGAUUAAUGAUAAGGGGGAACCUUAUGGUAAGGCAGCAAAAGAAAUGCAGUCUUACAUUGGGGUCUUAGCACGUACAAAGAUCCGAUUGUCACUGGUGAUUAGAGAGAGGUGGACCCUAAUGAAAAACAGAAAAUCUGAGAAUCUAUUCAGGAUGCAUAUGUGAUCCCUAAAGAAUGUAAGAAGCUGGUGAUUACCUCUGCUACAAAUAAAUGGAGGGAAUUCAAGAGCAAAUUUACCAACAAGUACAUUAUCCCUUAUAUGGAUACCCCUGAAUUGCUAGAAAAUCCACCGGAUGAUUAUCGAUGUGUUAAGAAGGCUGAUUGGGAUAUCUUUGUCGCUGACAUGAUUUUAGAAAAAUUUAAGGAACUGCGUGAUGCACAAAUAGAAAAAAGAAAGGAAAAUCGGUACCCUCAUCGUAUGGCACGUAAAUGAUAUGCUAACUUAGAAGCCAAACUGUCCGAGUCAAUCCCCUUAGAGAAACUGGAUCGUGCGAUGAUGUGGGUGAAGGCACGGCAAGAUAAGAAUGGCUGCUUCAAAGAACCUGAGGUGGAUAAGACGACAAAAAGAAUUGU
Molecule: RNA transcript, 3819 nt
Organism: Rosa chinensis
Lineage: Eukaryota; Viridiplantae; Streptophyta; Magnoliopsida; Rosales; Rosaceae
Gene name: putative receptor-like protein kinase At4g00960
Exons: 14
Source: RefSeq, a predicted model, not a curated record